UACGGAGGGUGCAAGCGUUACUCGGAAUCACUGGGCGUAAAGGGUGCGUAGGCUGGCUUCUAAGUCAGAUGUGAAAUCCAAUGGCUUAACCAUUGAACUGCAUUUGAAACUGGAAGCCUAGAGUUCAGAAGGGGCAGAUGGAAUUAGUGGUGUAGGGGUAAAAUCCGUAGAUAUCACUAGGAAUAUCAAAAGCGAAGGCGAUCUGCUGGGAUGAUACUGACGCUGAGGCACGAAAGCGUGGGGAGCAAACAGGAUUAGAAACCCGGUAGUCC
This 272-nucleotide ribosomal RNA is filed under the name uncultured bacterium. Its description in RNAcentral is "partial 16S ribosomal RNA". It matches the Rfam family "Bacterial small subunit ribosomal RNA", at positions 524 to 796 of the family's 1533-position model. The record is from RNAcentral.